This 499-nucleotide ribosomal RNA is filed under the name Neoplecostomus langeanii. RNAcentral's name for it is "partial 16S ribosomal RNA". It matches the Rfam family "Bacterial large subunit ribosomal RNA", at positions 1923 to 2579 of the family's 2925-position model. The record is from RNAcentral. Lineage: Eukaryota; Metazoa; Chordata; Actinopteri; Siluriformes; Loricariidae.
UUAAACGGCCGCGGUAUUUUGACCGUGCAAAGGUAGCGCAAUCACUUGUCUUUUAAAUGAAGACCUGUAUGAAUGGUGAAACGAGGGCUUAACUGUCUCCCUCAUCCAGUCAAUGAAAUUGAUCUACCCGUGCAGAAGCGGGUAUAAAAAUACAAGACGAGAAGACCCUUUGGAGCUUAAGACAAAAGACCAACUAUGUCAAAAGUCCUAAAAAUGAGACUAAACCAAAUAAUACUGGUCCCAGUCUUCGGUUGGGGUGACCGCGGGAGAAAAUAAAGCUCCCAUGUGGACAGGGGAAAACCCCUAAAACUAAGAGAGACAUCUCUAAGACACAGAACAUCUGACCAUAAAGAUCCGGCUAUAUGCCGACCAACGGACCAAGUUACCCUAGGGAUAACAGCGCAAUCCCCUUCCAGAGUCCAUAUCGACAAGGGGGUUUACGACCUCGAUGUUGGAUCAGGACAUCCUAAUGGUGCAGCCGCUAUUAAGGGCUCGUUUG